ACCAGUCUCUUUUUAUUUCGUAUGCUACUCCUUUCUCUUCUUCAAAGAGAUUCACUACCAUCAUCAGAUUCAUCGCCACCUUCUUAUGUUCUUCUUCUUCCUCUUAGAAUCGACUAAUUUCAGUAUAUUGGGUUUUGAUUAAGUUUAGUAAUUAAGGUUAAUAUGUUGGAGAACUUGGUCUCUGAUUGAAUUGAUUUACUAGUUUUAUAUGUUUGAUAUUCAUGUUUUAUUGGUUGAACUAAGGAUCUGUGCUCCAAUCUAUUAAGGGCUUUUCUAGAUUUUGAAGUUGAUUGUUCUAAAAAUGAAAUCCAGACGUUGCAUGAGUGUUAGGGUUAGGGAUUGUUCUAAACUUUAAGUAUCUCUCUUUAUCUUGGUUUACUUUUUAUUGGUUUUAGCUUAGAAUGGUUUCUUCGUGAAAUUGAUUUUUGUGAUGAAAUUGUUUGCUUUUUUUUUCCCUUAUAAUUUGUGAGUACAGGAGGAGAUCAGUAGAGGUGAAAUACCUGCCAAUUCUUUCAGAUUUUUUUUUUUAUUUUGCGCAACCAUGCUAAAAUGUGAGGGUAUUCUUAAGCUGCACUAUGGAGAAGAUGAGGUUGAUAUGGAUGUGCUUUUUUAAAUGGUUCUUGUGUCCACAAGUGCUUACCAGUUGCUAAAGAUGAAUCUGAUACAAGGAAGCACCUAAGAUUCUAAUGUCAUAAUUAAAAAACAGAGGAAAAUGUACUAUUUUCUAUGAACAUUUCUUGAACUUUUGUUUAAUUGGUCUACUUAGUAGUUGGAAGUAGUUUUAAGCUUCACAUGGAAUGAUAGUUGGGAGAAUGGGCGAUGUUAUAAGUAAUCAAGAUUCUAGAAUUUUUUAGGAAGGUUCAAGAAGAAUUGGAUGAAGUAGAAGGCAAAAACAACAUCGUGGAAUAAUCUCACAUGAAACUACACCCUUUGGAACUUAGAAGCAAUGGCGAAGGAGACUUCAGAGUUGCAUCCUGCAACACCAUUACUGAUUCUCAAAUGAACUUUCAGUCCAGUUUAUUAUUAACGAGAAACUACACCCUUUGGAACUUAUGAUGUAUUUUAGUAUUUGAACUUUUGAAUGAACAAAAAAUUCUAUUUCAGUUUAAUAUGGUCGGUUAACCG
This is a long non-coding RNA of Papaver somniferum (opium poppy), 1125 nucleotides long. RefSeq lists it as uncharacterized. The transcript is spliced from 3 exons. Lineage: Eukaryota; Viridiplantae; Streptophyta; Magnoliopsida; Ranunculales; Papaveraceae. The record is from RefSeq and is a predicted model, not a curated record.